This is a non-coding RNA of Hypoxylon sp. FL1284, 118 nucleotides long. The record is from the annotation of a GenBank genome assembly. NCBI's taxonomy places the organism in Eukaryota, Fungi, Ascomycota, Sordariomycetes, Xylariales, Hypoxylaceae.
GCCCUGGUAGCUCAAUUGGCUAGAGCGUGGGACUUUUACAAUUGACUCUUCUCAGCUAAAAUCUGGAGGACGAUAGCUAGUAAUCCCAAGGUUGCGGGUUCGACCCCCGCCUGGGGCG